Molecule: long non-coding RNA, 359 nt
Filed under: Androctonus crassicauda
Lineage: Eukaryota; Metazoa; Arthropoda; Arachnida; Scorpiones; Buthidae
Source: RNAcentral
AUAGAAUUCAACAAGAAAUGGAUAGGAGCUUUAUUGAUGAUGAUGAUGAUGAUGAUGCAGCAUCAACUUCUGGAUUACCAAAUAAAGCUGUUCAUAAUAUUGCCAUGGUAAUUGACCCAACUUACAAUCGUCAGAAAGCACAAAGCCUUGGAAGUCCUCAGAAUUCACAAUGUAAUACUCCCACAUCUUCACCAAAUAGGGUUAUCCCCCAAUGUCCAGGUAUUUUUAUUUUUAUUUUCUGAAGUAUUUAGAAAAUUUGGAAUAUAGUUUAAUUUCAAAACAGUUUUUGAAAAAUAUUCAUAUUACAGGAUACAAUUAUUUAUUGAUUAUAUAUAUAUCUAUAGCAUUUUUAAUUUGAC